GACGAACGCUGGCGGCGUGCUUAACACAUGCAAGUCGAACGGAAAGGCCCUGCUUUUGUGGGGUGCUCGAGUGGCGAACGGGUGAGUAACACGUGAGUAACCUGCCCUUGACUUUGGGAUAACUUCAGGAAACUGGGGCUAAUACCGGAUAGGAGCUCCUGCUGCAUGGUGGGGGUUGGAAAGUUUCGGCGGUUGGGGAUGGACUCGCGGCUUAUCAGCUUGUUGGUGGGGUAGUGGCUUACCAAGGCCUUGACGGGUAGCCGGCCUGAGAGGGUGACCGGCCACAUUGGGACUGAGAUACGGCCCAGACUCCUACGGGAGGCAGAGGUGGGGAAUAUUGCACAAUGGGCGGAAGCCUGAUGCAGCAACGCCGCGUGCGGGAUGACGGCCUUCGGGUUGUAAACCGCUUUCGCCUGUGACGAAGCGUGAGUGACGGUAAUGGGUAAAGAAGCACCGGCUAACUACGUG
This 468-nucleotide ribosomal RNA is filed under the name uncultured bacterium. RNAcentral's name for it is "partial 16S ribosomal RNA". It matches the Rfam family "Bacterial small subunit ribosomal RNA", at positions 28 to 507 of the family's 1533-position model. The record is from RNAcentral.